RNAcentral lists this ribosomal RNA (437 nucleotides) under uncultured bacterium. Its description in RNAcentral is "bacterial SSU rRNA". It matches the Rfam family "Bacterial small subunit ribosomal RNA", at positions 958 to 1397 of the family's 1533-position model. The record is from RNAcentral.
AACGCGAAGAACCUUACCACCUUUUGACAUGCCCGGACCGCCACAGAGAUGUGGUUUUCCCUUCGGGGACCGGGACACAGGUGCUGCAUGGCUGUCGUCAGCUCGUGUCGUGAGAUGUUGGGUUAAGUCCCGCAACGAGCGCAACCCUCGCCUUUAGUUGCCAUCAUUAAGUUGGGAACUCUAAAGGUACCGCCGGUGGUAAGCCGGAGGAAGGUGGGGAUGAUGUCAAGUCCUCAUGGCCCUUACAAGGUGGGCUACACACGUGCUACAAUGGCGACUACAGAGGGCAGCAAACCAGCGAUGGGGAGCCAAUCCCUAAAAGUCGUCUCAGUUCGGAUUGCACUCUGCAACUCGAGUGCAUGAAGUCGGAAUCGCUAGUAAUCGCGGAUCAGCACGCCGCGGUGAAUACGUUCCCGGGCCUUGUACACACCGACAUA